GACGAACGCUGGCGGCGUGCUUAACACAUGCAAGUCGAGCGGUAAGGCCCUUUCGGGGGUACGACGAGCGGCGAACGGGUAGAGUAACACGUGGGUGACCUGCCCUCAGCUCUGGGAGUAAGCCUGGGAAACCGGGUCUAAUACUGGAUAUGACUCCAUGACGCAUGUUGUGGGGUGGAAAGCCUUGUGCGGCUGAGGAUGGGCCCGCGGCCUAUCAGCUUGUUGGUGGGGUGAUGGCCUACCAAGGCGACGACGGGUAGCCGGCCUGAGAGGGCGACCGGCCGACACUGGGACUGAGACACGGCCCAGACUCCUACGGGAGGCAGCAGUGGGGAAUCUUGCGCAAUGGGCGAAAGCCUGACGCAGCGACGCCGCGUGAGGGAUGACGGCCU
This 392-nucleotide ribosomal RNA is filed under the name uncultured bacterium. RNAcentral describes it as "bacterial SSU rRNA". It matches the Rfam family "Bacterial small subunit ribosomal RNA", at positions 28 to 417 of the family's 1533-position model. The record is from RNAcentral.